Molecule: unclassified non-coding RNA, 164 nt
Filed under: uncultured Sordariomycetes
Lineage: Eukaryota; Fungi; Ascomycota; Sordariomycetes
Description: sequence contains ITS2
Source: RNAcentral
UGACCCUUAAGCCCCUGUUGCUUAGUGUUGGGACUCUACGAUUACAGCGUAGUUCCUUAAAGUUAGUUGGCAGAGUUAGGGUAUACUCUCAGCGUAGUAAAAUUUUUCCUCGCUUUUGCAGUUACCCAAGCUAUAGCCAUUAAACCUUUUUAUUUUUCCAAAGG